This is a long non-coding RNA of Neogale vison (American mink), 698 nucleotides long. RefSeq lists it as uncharacterized. The transcript is spliced from 3 exons. The record is from RefSeq and is a predicted model, not a curated record. Lineage: Eukaryota; Metazoa; Chordata; Mammalia; Carnivora; Mustelidae.
CCCGCGGGCGCGCGGGCUCGGCGGAACCACAAUGCUCAGGGGUCUCGCGUUUCAAGCCCUGCAGCCCGUACGCCGCCCUCCCAUCCUCCUGGAUUACAAGCCCCAGAAAGCCCCGCGUCCCCUCCUGCGCACCCUGGGGAUCAAGGACGGUAACCACAGAGCAUAUUCAAAGAGCUGCUGCAGUUCAAGGUAACAAGGGAGGUCAUCAGAAAAAAGAGCUCACGGGGCUCUGCCUUCAAAGACGCUGAUGCUACUGAGGAGACUUUUCUAGACCUGCUGGGACCGUAGUCUCUCCGACCACCUGGUGGACAUCUGUGGGAACCUGCAUGAUGGAGCACGGGAGGGGCUGCUGCUCCCCUUGAAGGCUACUCUGGCCUUCUCACCUAACCGGCUGACCCUGCAGCAAGACGUGUAUGAUGGCAAGGGGCUGCUCUGCACCGGCCCGGGGUUGUUGAUCCUCCCGGCGCCCUCUGCCAAGGAGAAACACCACACCAAAGACGACGGGUCGCCGCCAUGUUCGGUGCGCGCCCGGGUCACUGAGGGAUGAGCGCGGAAAGUGCUGCCGAGGGUCUUCUGAUACCCGCCGCACUCACGUGGUGUCCCCUGGGAAAGGACUUUCCGGUGCCAGGCUAGAGAUCUGCCUGGACUGAAGACUUUCUCACAUUUGUGACACUUAAAGGGCUUCUGUACAGCGUGAA